UACAGAGGGUGCGAGCGUUGUCCGGAAUCACUGGGCGUAAAGGGCGCGUAGGCGGCUUGAUAAGCGUGCGGUGAAAGCCCGGGGCUCAACCCCGGGUCGGCCGUGCGAACUGUCGAGCUGGAGCACUGUAGAGGCAGGUGGAAUUCCGGGUGUAGCGGUGGAAUGCGUAGAGAUCCGGAAGAACACCGGUGGCGAAGGCGGUUCUCUGGGCAUUACCUGACGCUGAGGAGCGAAAGUGUGGGGAGCGAACAGG
Molecule: ribosomal RNA, 253 nt
Filed under: uncultured bacterium
Lineage: Bacteria
Description: partial 16S ribosomal RNA
Rfam family: Bacterial small subunit ribosomal RNA
Source: RNAcentral